Molecule: small nucleolar RNA, 72 nt
Filed under: Choloepus hoffmanni (Hoffmann's two-fingered sloth)
Lineage: Eukaryota; Metazoa; Chordata; Mammalia; Pilosa; Megalonychidae
Description: Small nucleolar RNA SNORD112 (ENSCHOG00000015705.1)
Source: RNAcentral
UGGACCAAUAAUCAGAGUGUAUCAUGAACCAAAGACUAUGAUGAAUCUAAUUCUGUGUAACUGAGGUUCCCC